UACGGAGGGUGCAAGCGUUAAUCGGAAUUACUGGGCGUAAAGCGCGCGUAGGCGGUCUUGCAAGUAGACUGUGAAAUCCCCGGGCUUAACCUGGGAACUGCAGUCUAAACUGCUUGACUAGAGAUCGGUAGAGGGAGGUGGAAUUCCUAGUGUAGCGGUGAAAUGCGUAGAGAUUAGGAAGAACAUCAGUGGCGAAGGCGACCUCCUGGACUGUGUCUGACGCUGAGGUGCGAAAGCGUGGGUAGCGAACAGG
Molecule: unclassified non-coding RNA, 253 nt
Filed under: uncultured Gammaproteobacteria bacterium
Lineage: Bacteria; Pseudomonadati; Pseudomonadota; Gammaproteobacteria
Description: contains 16S-23S intergenic spacer region
Rfam family: Bacterial small subunit ribosomal RNA
Source: RNAcentral